ACAGAGAAGACAAAAAGAGAAAAGGGAAAGAACAAAGGGGAGCUAGGGUUUGGAGGAGACAUUGAAGAGGUUCUGGAGUUUAAUAGCUCGUGCGUGAUCUAGCCGGAGAUUCUUCCGUGUUUGUUGGAGAUUAGGUAGUGAGUCAAUGCUCUGGUCAUGUAACACUGGGUAGACUAGUCGUGUUGAACUCAUGUUUCUAUUUUGUUAUGUAUUAUGUUAUGACUUGAGGACCUGUUUAUUUGGCUACUUGUUGUUGAGAGGCUUUUGAGCCAAAUAUUCUGAUUAUGGUUUAUUUUAUGUUGAGAUGAA
Molecule: long non-coding RNA, 309 nt
Organism: Vicia villosa (hairy vetch)
Lineage: Eukaryota; Viridiplantae; Streptophyta; Magnoliopsida; Fabales; Fabaceae
Exons: 2
Source: RefSeq, a predicted model, not a curated record